RNAcentral lists this ribosomal RNA (301 nucleotides) under uncultured bacterium. Its description in RNAcentral is "partial 16S ribosomal RNA". It matches the Rfam family "Bacterial small subunit ribosomal RNA", at positions 509 to 807 of the family's 1533-position model. The record is from RNAcentral.
CAGUAGCCGCGGGAAUACGGAGGGUGCAAGCGUUAAUCGGAAUUACUGGGCGUAAAGCGCACGCAGGCCGUCUGUCAAGUCAGAUGUGAAAUCCCCGGGCUUAACCUGGGAACUGCAUUUGAAACUGGCAGGCUAGAGUCUUGUAGAGGGGGGUAGAAUUCCAGGUGUAGCGGUGAAAUGCGUAGAGAUCUGGAGGAAUACCGGUGGCGAAGGCGGCCCCCUGGACAAAGACUGACGCUCAGGUGCGAAAGCGUGGGGAGCAAACAGGAUUAGAUACCCCAGUAGUCCCUGUCUCUUAUAC